RNAcentral lists this ribosomal RNA (447 nucleotides) under uncultured bacterium. RNAcentral's name for it is "bacterial SSU rRNA". It matches the Rfam family "Bacterial small subunit ribosomal RNA", at positions 329 to 793 of the family's 1533-position model. The record is from RNAcentral.
CUCCAGACUCCUACGGGAGGCAGCAGUGGGGAAUAUUGCACAAUGGGGGAAACCCUGAUGCAGCGACGCCGCGUGAGCGAUGAAGUAUUUCGGUAUGUAAAGCUCUAUCAGCAGGGAAGAAAAUGACGGUACCUGACUAAGAAGCCCCGGCUAACUACGUGCCAGCAGCCGCGGUAAUACGUAGGGGGCAAGCGUUAUCCGGAUUUACUGGGUGUAAAGGGAGCGUAGACGGCUGUGCAAGCCAGAUGUGAAAGCCCGGGGCUCAACCCCGGGACUGCAUUUGGAACUGUGUGGCUGGAGUGUCGGAGAGGCAGGCGGAAUUCCUAGUGUAGCGGUGAAAUGCGUAGAUAUUAGGAGGAACACCAGUGGCGAAGGCGGCCUGCUGGACGAUGACUGACGUUGAGGCUCGAAAGCGUGGGGAGCAAACAGGAUUAGAUACCCCUGUAA